GGCCAGACUCCUACGGGAGGCAGCAGUGGGGAAUAUUGGGCAAUGGGCGCAAGCCUGACCCAGCAACGCCGCGUGAAGGAAGAAGGUUUUCGGGUUGUAAACUUCUUUUAUCAGGGACGAAGCAAGUGACGGUACCUGAUGAAUAAGCCACGGCUAACUACGUGCCAGCAGCCGCGGUAAUACGUAGGUGGCGAGCGUUAUCCGGAUUUACUGGGUGUAAAGGGCGUGUAGGCGGGAAUGCAAGUCAGAUGUGAAAACUAUGGGCUCAACCCAUAGCCUGCAUUUGAAACUGUAUUUCUUGAGUGCUGGAGAGGCAAUCGGAAUUCCGUGUGUAGCGGUGAAAUGCGUAGAUAUCAGGAGGAACACCGGUGGCGAAGGCGGCCUGCUGGACUGCAACUGACGUUGAGGCCCGAAAGCGUGGGGAGCAAACAGGAUUAGAUACCCCUGUA
RNAcentral lists this ribosomal RNA (449 nucleotides) under uncultured bacterium. RNAcentral's name for it is "bacterial SSU rRNA". It matches the Rfam family "Bacterial small subunit ribosomal RNA", at positions 329 to 792 of the family's 1533-position model. The record is from RNAcentral.